Molecule: ribosomal RNA, 474 nt
Filed under: uncultured organism
Description: partial 16S ribosomal RNA
Rfam family: Bacterial small subunit ribosomal RNA
Source: RNAcentral
UACACUCCUACGGGAGGCAGCAGUGGGGAAUUUUGGACAAUGGGCGAAAGCCUGAUCCAGCAAUGCCGCGUGAGUGAAGAAGGCCUUCGGGUUGUAAAGCUCUUUUGUCAGGGAAGAAACGGUGAAAGCUAAUAUCUUUUGCUAAUGACGGUACCUGAAGAAUAAGCACCGGCUAACUACGUGCCAGCAGCCGCGGUAAUACGUAGGGUGCAAGCGUUAAUCGGAAUUACUGGGCGUAAAGCGUGCGCAGGCGGUUUUGUAAGUCUGAUGUGAAAUCCCCGGGCUCAACCUGGGAAUUGCAUUGGAGACUGCAAGGCUAGAAUCUGGCAGAGGGGGGUAGAAUUCCACGUGUAGCAGUGAAAUGCGUAGAUAUGUGGAGGAACACCGAUGGCGAAGGCAGCCCCCUGGGUCAAGAUUGACGCUCAUGCACGAAAGCGUGGGGAGCAAACAGGAUUAGAUACCCUUGUAGUCCCA